CAAAACGGCGUAACCCUCCUCAGUCUCGCGUUUGCUUCUCUCCCAAGUCGGAGCGAAUUUGAAAACCCUGGUUUAAUCAGGGCUUAUCAUCAUCCCUCUCUCUCUCUUUCUCUCUUUCUCUCUCUCUCCCGUAAAAAAUGGCGAAGGACUCAAUAGCACCACGCCCAUGGUUUCUGGAUUUGGUACCUCUUUUGGUGGUUCUUCUAAUAGCAGCUCACGUCCUCGCUUUGGUUUACUGGAUAUACAGGUUAGCUACUGAUAAACAACCCCAGAGAAGAAAGGCACAUUGAAGAUUAAGCAGGUGCUUGUUCAUAAUGCUGAACGGGAUUUUGAUUAUAUUUAGAGAGGUUAUACAACAACAAUCACAAAAGACUGCUUUUUACAUAUUGUAUAGCUUGUGUUUUUAUUGGUACAUCAGGUUGCUGCAUGUUCCUUAUCUCAGAAUUGCUGCUUCAUCCAACAUUAUUGAGUGCCUUGUAUUGUCCUUAAUGUUUGCACCAUCGAAAACUUGGACAACUGUUGACUUGA
Molecule: long non-coding RNA, 528 nt
Organism: Hevea brasiliensis (rubber tree)
Lineage: Eukaryota; Viridiplantae; Streptophyta; Magnoliopsida; Malpighiales; Euphorbiaceae
Exons: 3
Source: RefSeq, a predicted model, not a curated record